ACGUGCCUUCUGGUCUGGAAUAACCCUGGGAAACUAGGGCUAAUACCGGAUACGCCCUUUUGGGGAAAGGUUUACUGCCGGAAGAUCGGCCCGCGUCUGAUUAGCUAGUUGGUGGGGUAACGGCCUACCAAGGCGACGAUCAGUAGCUGGUCUGAGAGGAUGAUCAGCCACACUGGGACUGAGACACGGCCCAGACUCCUACGGGAGGCAGCAGUGGGGAAUAUUGGACAAUGGGCGCAAGCCUGAUCCAGCCAUGCCGCGUGAGUGAUGAAGGCCUUAGGGUUGUAAAGCUCUUUUAUCCGGGACGAUAAUGACGGUACCGGAGGAAUAAGCCCCGGCUAACUUCGUGCCAGCAGCCGCGGUAAUACGAAGGGGGCUAGCGUUGCUCGGAAUCACUGGGCGUAAAGGGCGCGUAGGCGGCGUUUUAAGUCGGGGGUGAAAGCCUGUGGCUCAACCACAGAAUGGCCUUCGAUACUGGGACGCUUGAGUAUGGUAGAGGUUGGUGGAACUGCGAGUGUAGAGGUGAAAUUCGUAGAUAUUCGCAAGAACACCGGUGGCGAAGGCGGCCAACUGGACCAUUACUGACGCUGAGGCGCGAAAGCGUGGGGGAGCAAACAGGAUUAGAUACCCUGGUAGUCCACGCGGUAAACGAUGAAUGCCAGCUGUUGGGGUGCUUGCACCGCAGUAGCGCAGCUAACGCUUUGAGCAUUCCGCCUGGGGAGUACGGUCGCAAGAUUAAAACUCAAAGGAAUUGAC
Molecule: ribosomal RNA, 756 nt
Filed under: uncultured bacterium
Lineage: Bacteria
Description: bacterial SSU rRNA
Rfam family: Bacterial small subunit ribosomal RNA
Source: RNAcentral